Long non-coding RNA from Panicum virgatum (switchgrass), 126 nucleotides. RefSeq lists it as uncharacterized. The transcript has 2 exons. The record is from RefSeq and is a predicted model, not a curated record. NCBI's taxonomy places the organism in Eukaryota, Viridiplantae, Streptophyta, Magnoliopsida, Poales, Poaceae.
UAGUUACUUCUGAGCUUGGCUACAGAUAUUACUGUGGCAAUAGCUACGGAGAGUAUUGGGAGGGAAGGACAUGUGAUUGGGAGUGGUUCGAAGGCCGGUAUGAGCUAAUGUUGCAAUUGGGCAGAA